Molecule: non-coding RNA, 151 nt
Organism: Pelobates cultripes (western spadefoot toad)
Lineage: Eukaryota; Metazoa; Chordata; Amphibia; Anura; Pelobatidae
Source: the annotation of a GenBank genome assembly
GACUAGUGACAGAGAGAGGGAGGGGGUGACUAGUGACAGAGUGAGGGAGGUUGUGAUUAGUGACAGAGGGAAGGAUGAGGUGACUAGUGACAGUCACCACCUCCUUCACUCUGUCACUAGUCACCCCCUUCCUCACUCUGUCAUUGUGUCA